CAUGUGUUGAUCUUUGGGUCUCCGAUUUUCAACUUUUUCGUCUUUCCAGUUAGAUGUCCCAACUUUUUACGGUCAUCGAUUGCAAACUCUUCGAAUUGUGCCCAUUUCAGAUAGGUCUUCCCAUUUAAUUGAUGAGAAGUUAACUGGAAGGGCAUGUGAGAAACAUUGCCUCCUUGAGUCAUCAGAUUUGGAGCUUCCAGAGAAGACAUUUUAUCUUCUUUUGAUAUUCCAGAAAGAUAUUCUCCUUGAGAAGCUAUUUUGACCAUAUGGUAUUAGGGGAAGUGUUCCAAUUCUGAUACCAUGAAAGUUUAGAUACUGCAAAAAUAUAUUUUCAUUCAUAGAGUUGCACAAUAUUUAUUGGUGAACAAGAAGAUCAAAAGAAUCUAAUCAAUCCCUAAUUACUAGGAGCUAUGUUGCGCGCACUCAUUGAUUUCGCCGCCGAACCCUUCCCAUCGUGACGUUGGUGCGGGCGUGCGGUACGUCUCUUAUUCGGUCAAAAGAAUCCGAAGACGUUGAUCCAACCUCAAGAACAAAGUUGGUUGUCGUCCUCGUAGUAAGAAAGACCGGCGACUGUAAUUGUUGUCAUCACAAGAAAGGGAGAAAAUCGGGGACUGCUGUCACCAUCGAAAUCCGGCGACAGUCAUCAUCGGAAUCAGUGACUGUUGCCAUCGUCCAAAUUCGACGACUGUAAUUUUUGUCAUCGGAAUUUGAAUCGUUGGAUAGAAACAAAAAGUGGUUGGGGACAAGAAAGAUGAUUCAUU
This 761-nucleotide long non-coding RNA is filed under the name Capsicum annuum. RNAcentral describes it as "long non-coding RNA (CANN_LNC004047)". The record is from RNAcentral. Lineage: Eukaryota; Viridiplantae; Streptophyta; Magnoliopsida; Solanales; Solanaceae.